GCAUUAAUGGGGUAGUGGUAACCUGGGUCGUUGCCAGAAUUAACGUACGCGUACGAUUCGACCCGCCGGGAGUUCGAUUCUCUCUUAAUGCA
Molecule: non-coding RNA, 92 nt
Organism: Collybia nuda
Lineage: Eukaryota; Fungi; Basidiomycota; Agaricomycetes; Agaricales; Clitocybaceae
Source: the annotation of a GenBank genome assembly